GACGAACGCUGGCGGCGUGCUUAAUACAUGCAAGUCAACUGAACUUUAGGUAGCAAUAUUUAAAGGGAGGUGGCGCACGGGUGAGUAACACGUAGGUAAUCUGCCUUCAGGACUGACAUAAUUCCGCGAAAGCGGGACUAAAAUCAGAUGAUGCAGCGGCUCGACAUCGAGACAGUUGUUAAACCUUCGGGGCCUGAAGAUGAGCCUGCGUCUGAUUAGGUAGUUGGCGGGGUAAAAGCCCACCAAGCCUGCGAUCAGUAGCUGGUCUGAGAGGAUGAUCAGCCACACUGGAACUGAGACACGGUCCAGACUCCUACGGGAGGCAGCAGUAAGGAAUAUUGCUCAAAUGGCCGAAAAGGCUGAAGCAGCAACGCCGCGUGGAGGAUGAAAUACUUUAGUAUGUAAACUCCUGUAAAGAGGGGAAAAAUAUACAGCUAUGCUGUGUUGAUUGUACCCUCAGAGUAAAGCCCCGGCUAACUACGUGCCAGCAG
RNAcentral lists this ribosomal RNA (491 nucleotides) under uncultured bacterium. RNAcentral's name for it is "bacterial SSU rRNA". It matches the Rfam family "Bacterial small subunit ribosomal RNA", at positions 28 to 514 of the family's 1533-position model. The record is from RNAcentral.